Molecule: long non-coding RNA, 1026 nt
Filed under: Oncorhynchus mykiss (rainbow trout)
Lineage: Eukaryota; Metazoa; Chordata; Actinopteri; Salmoniformes; Salmonidae
Description: lncRNA (ENSOMYG00000059829.1)
Source: RNAcentral
AUGCCAGGGAUGCACUCUCUCCCUGUCUCUGCCAGGCAUUCAGCUCUCUCCCUGUCUCUGCCAGUCAUUCAGCUCUCUGCCAGUCAUUCAGCUCGCUCCCUGUCUCUCCCUGUCUCUGCCAGGCAUUCAGCUCUCUCCCUGUCUCUCCCUGUCUCUGCCAGGCAUUCAGCUCUCUCCCUGUCUCUCCCUGUCUCUGCCAGGCAUUCAGCUCUCUCCCUGUCUCUCCCUGUCUCUGCCAGGCAUUCAGCUCUCUCCCUGUCUCUCCCUGUCUCUCCCUGUCUCUGCCAGGCAUUCAGCUCUCUCCCUGUCUCUGCUAGGCAUUCAGCUCUCUCCCUGUCUCUCCCUGUCUCUCCCUGUCUCUGCCAGGCAUUCAGCUCUCUCCCUGUCUCUCUCUGUCUCUCCCUGUCUCUGCCAGUCAUUCAGCUCUCUCCCUGUCUCUGCCAGGCAUUCAGCUCUCUCCCUGUCUCUGCCAGUCAUUCAGCUCUCUCCCUGUCUCUCCCUGUCUCUGCCAGGCAUUCAGCUCUCUCCCUGUCUCUCCCUGUCUCUGCCAGUCAUUCAGCUCUCUCCCUGUCUCUCCAUGUCUCUGCCAGGCAUUCAGCUCUCUCCCUGUCUCUGCCAGGCAUUCAGCUCUCUCCCUGUCUCUCCCUGUCUCUGCCAGGCAUUCAGCUCUCUCCCUGUCUCUGCCAGUCAUUCAGCUCUCUCCCUGUCUCUCCCUGUCUCUGCCAGGCAUUCAGCUCUCUCCCUGUCUCUCCCUGUCUCUGCCAGGCAUUCAGCUCUCUCCCUGUCUCUCCCUGUCUCUGCCAGGCAUUCAGCUCUCUCCCUGUCUCUCCCUGCCUCUGCCUGUCAUUCAGCUCUCUCCCUGUCUCUGCCUGUCAUUCAGCUCUCUCCCUGUCUCUCCCUGUCUCUGCCAGGCAUUCAGCUCUCUCCCUGUCUCUCAAAAUGACCUGCAUGAACAUGGGUCCAUUGUUUAAACCCAGUACAGGACAGAGAGCUUUGUUAAUUUACACUCUAAAUAUUAUCUUUUGA